This 508-nucleotide ribosomal RNA is filed under the name uncultured bacterium. RNAcentral describes it as "bacterial SSU rRNA". It matches the Rfam family "Bacterial small subunit ribosomal RNA", at positions 30 to 513 of the family's 1533-position model. The record is from RNAcentral.
AUUGAACGCUGGCGGCGUGCCUAACACAUGCAAGUCGAGCGGUAACAGGUGUAGCAAUACAUGCUGACGAGCGGCGAACGGGUGAGUAAUGCUUUGGAAUCUUCCCAGUAGUGGGGAAUAACCAGUCGAAAGAUUGGCUAAUACCGCAUACGUCUGUAAAGGGAAAGCGGGGGACUCGCCUCUUCUUCGGAAGAGAGGCCUCGCGCUAUUGGAUGAGCCAAAGCGGAUUAGCUAGUUGGUGGGGUAAUGGCCUACCAAGGCGACAAUCCGUAGCUGGUCUGAGAGGACGACCAGCCACACCGGAACUGAGACACGGCCCGGACUCCUACGGGAGGCAGCAGUGGGGAAUAUUGGACAAUGGGGAAACCCUGAUCCAGCGACGCCGCGUGUGUGAAGAAGGCCUGGCGGGUUGUAAAGCACUUUUAGUGGGGACAAAAGACUACGGAUUAAUACUCUGUGGUCUUGAUUUAACCUACAAGAAAAGACACCGGCUAACUCUGUGCCAGCA